UACGUAGGUGGCAAGCGUUGUCCGGAUUUACUGGGCGUAAAGAGCGCGCAGGCGGUCGUUCAAGUCGCGUGUGAAAGCCCCCGGCUCAACUGGGGAGGGUCACGCGAUACUGAUCGACUCGAAGGCAGGAGAGGGUAGUGGAAUUCCCGGUGUAGUGGUGAAAUGCGUAGAUAUCGGGAGGAACACCAGUGGCGAAGGCGACUACCUGGCCUGUUCUUGACGCUUAGGCGCGAAAGCUAGGGGAGCAAACGGG
Molecule: ribosomal RNA, 253 nt
Filed under: uncultured bacterium
Lineage: Bacteria
Description: partial 16S ribosomal RNA
Rfam family: Bacterial small subunit ribosomal RNA
Source: RNAcentral